UAUUCACAAACGAUACUUACCUAUGCAAAGCAGCAACGCUAUGCGAAAUGAGACAUUUCUCAAUGCGUUCCAUAUGACAAGCCUUUCAAUUCAUAAACAAUACUUAAACGACCCUUGACUAUGCAAAAUCAGAGUGUUGAAUAGAGUUCUGUGAUUGGUUCGCUUAUGUUACGCACUUCACUCCGCUAACUGACAUGACAUUCCUGUCAUUCAAACGGUGCAACGGUUUAUAAGUGUCGUUAUUUUGUGGAUUUGUGAAUUAAAUAAAUAUGGAUAAAACUACAACUAUCAGGCUCACACAUCAACUGAAAAGCUGCUGGAAUAAUUUAAUGACCCAAAGAAAGAAAGAACUUUCUCAGGAAUCAAUCAAACGUUCUCAACACCCACUAGUAUCAAGAAAUUAAGAUUAGUAGUAGCAAGAAUGAAGAUUAAGACAGAAACAAGAAUCAAACGCACCACAUUGAAUAAUAUACAAAAAGACCAGGCUUUGCACGAGUUGGGGCUACAAAGAGAAAAAAUAUUGAUAGAAAGAGAAAAUAAUUUGUUAGAACAUGAAAAAAAGAUUUAUGAUUUACAAAUACCUACAUAAAAUUAAAUUAGACAUUGAAGAUUGAUGAGAAUAAAACUUCAUUAAAAAUUUUAUGUUUUAUUUGCCACUAGCAACUGAUACAUUAUGUAGGUAGCACUGGAAGGCCUCCUCGCAGUUAAUUUCCUCAGGUCUUCUUUUAUCAGUGGUAAAAGUAUGAAAAGUACCCCAUCAUUGGAAAACCUAAACUAAAUUCGUCUGAAUUGUAAUAAUCAAGGGAUUUUGGGAAUCCCGUAUCACUUUUCUGGUACUUAUUCUACUUUGCUCAUUGAUAUAAUUAUCAAAUUCUUCUUCACUACUGUAAUCCAUUGUAAGAUAAUAUUAAUCGAAUACAACCAUAAAUAAAGCAAAAAAACCUCAAAAACGAGAAUAACCUAAAAAUUUUGACGUAAAUAGACACUAUGCGUUGCGUAAUACAGCUCCAUGGCUACCUUAGCUUUGCGUUCAUUCUAAGGGACGCAUAGUGCUUGUCACCACUGAAGUAUCGUCUAUGAAUAGGUUUUUGGGACCCUGUGCAUCCACGCGCACUAUGAGGCCUCAAAGUAAUGUUUGUGAA
Long non-coding RNA from Ostrinia nubilalis (European corn borer), 1142 nucleotides. RefSeq lists it as uncharacterized. The record is from RefSeq and is a predicted model, not a curated record. The transcript has 3 exons. Lineage: Eukaryota; Metazoa; Arthropoda; Insecta; Lepidoptera; Crambidae.